AGCUCUGUUUUCCCUGAACACUACUCUCUUUUCUAAGAAGACAUUCAUCUCUUUUCUGAGAAGGCAUUUCUGCAAAGGCAUUCAUCAUCAUCAGAACUUCCAAGAUGGUGGUGAGCCGCUUCCAAGAUGGUGGCAGGCCGCUUCCAAGAUGGUGGCAAGUCUCGUGUUCUCUGACCUGGGGUUCUUGGCCUCAUGGAGUCCAAGGAAUGGAAUCUUGGGUCAUGCGCUACAGCUGUCAUACUGAAAUCAUGAAGCUAAAGGCUACAGAGGGCUACUAGAAGCCUGAGUUUCUGAAGACUGUGUGGAACCAUCAAAGCAGCCCUGAAUAUUUCCCUUGAGACUUUUCCAUUAUAGGAAGGGCAAAUAAAUAGAUGAUGUAUGAUGUAUGAUGUUUUUACUUAG
RNAcentral lists this long non-coding RNA (402 nucleotides) under Homo sapiens (human). Its description in RNAcentral is "HSALNT0373784". The record is from RNAcentral. Lineage: Eukaryota; Metazoa; Chordata; Mammalia; Primates; Hominidae.